This 152-nucleotide ribosomal RNA is filed under the name Schizophyllum sp. MI 01. RNAcentral describes it as "5.8S ribosomal RNA". It matches the Rfam family "5.8S ribosomal RNA". Rfam says of the family: 5.8S ribosomal RNA (5.8S rRNA) is a component of the large subunit of the eukaryotic ribosome. It is transcribed by RNA polymerase I as part of the 45S precursor that also contains 18S and 28S rRNA. Lineage: Eukaryota; Fungi; Basidiomycota; Agaricomycetes; Agaricales; Schizophyllaceae. The record is from RNAcentral. RNAcentral also lists the same sequence under 1 other name.
UUUCGACAACGGAUCUCUUGGCUCUCGCAUCGAUGAAGAACGCAGCGAAAUGCGAUAAGUAAUGUGAAUUGCAGAAUUCAGUGAAUCAUCGAAUCUUUGAACGCACCUUGCGUCCUUUGGUAUUCCGAGGGGCAUGCCUGUUUGAGUGUCAU